CCUACGGGUGGCAGCAGUAGGGAAUAUUGCUCAAUGGGGGAAACCCUGAAGCAGCAACGCCGCGUGGGGGAUGAAGGUUUUCGGAUUGUAAACCCCUUUUGUUAGAGAAGAUAAUGACGGUAUCUGACGAAUAAGCACCGGCUAACUCCGUGCCAGCAGCCGCGGUAAUACGGAGGGUGCAAGCGUUACUCGGAAUCACUGGGCGUAAAGAGCGCGUAGGCGGGAUAGCAAGUCAGAUGUGAAAACCUAGGGCUUAACCAUAGAACUGCAUUUGAAACUGUUAGUCUGGAGUAGGGGAGAGGUAGGUGGAAUUCUUGGUGUAGGGGUAAAAUGCGUAGAGAUCAAGAGGAAUACUGAUUGCGAAGGCGACCUGCUGGAACAUAACUGACGCUGAUGCGCGAAAGCGUGGGGAGCAAACAGGAUUAGAUACCCGUGUAGUC
Molecule: ribosomal RNA, 440 nt
Filed under: uncultured bacterium
Lineage: Bacteria
Description: partial 16S ribosomal RNA
Rfam family: Bacterial small subunit ribosomal RNA
Source: RNAcentral